RNAcentral lists this ribosomal RNA (2908 nucleotides) under Escherichia coli. Its description in RNAcentral is "23S ribosomal RNA". It matches the Rfam family "Bacterial large subunit ribosomal RNA". The record is from RNAcentral. Lineage: Bacteria; Pseudomonadati; Pseudomonadota; Gammaproteobacteria; Enterobacterales; Enterobacteriaceae.
GGUUAAGCGACUAAGCGUACACGGUGGAUGCCCUGGCAGUCAGAGGCGAUGAAGGACGUGCUAAUCUGCGAUAAGCGUCGGUAAGGUGAUAUGAACCGUUAUAACCGGCGAUUUCCGAAUGGGGAAACCCAGUGUGUUUCGACACACUAUCAUUAACUGAAUCCAUAGGUUAAUGAGGCGAACCGGGGGAACUGAAACAUCUAAGUACCCCGAGGAAAAGAAAUCAACCGAGAUUCCCCCAGUAGCGGCGAGCGAACGGGGAGGAGCCCAGAGCCUGAAUCAGUGUGUGUGUUAGUGGAAGCGUCUGGAAAGGCGCGCGAUACAGGGUGACAGCCCCGUACACAAAAAUGCACAUGCUGUGAGCUCGAUGAGUAGGGCGGGACACGUGGUAUCCUGUCUGAAUAUGGGGGGACCAUCCUCCAAGGCUAAAUACUCCUGACUGACCGAUAGUGAACCAGUACCGUGAGGGAAAGGCGAAAAGAACCCCGGCGAGGGGAGUGAAAAAGAACCUGAAACCGUGUACGUACAAGCAGUGGGAGCACAGAGCAAUCUGUGUGACUGCGUACCUUUUGUAUAAUGGGUCAGCGACUUAUAUUCUGUAGCAAGGUUAACCGAAUAGGGGAGCCGAAGGGAAACCGAGUCUUAACUGGGCGUUAAGUUGCAGGGUAUAGACCCGAAACCCGGUGAUCUAGCCAUGGGCAGGUUGAAGGUUGGGUAACACUAACUGGAGGACCGAACCGACUAAUGUUGAAAAAUUAGCGGAUGACUUGUGGCUGGGGGUGAAAGGCCAAUCAAACCGGGAGAUAGCUGGUUCUCCCCGAAAGCUAUUUAGGUAGCGCCUCGUGAAUUCAUCUCCGGGGGUAGAGCACUGUUUCGGCAAGGGGGUCAUCCCGACUUACCAACCCGAUGCAAACUGCGAAUACCGGAGAAUGUUAUCACGGGAGACACACGGCGGGUGCUAACGUCCGUCGUGAAGAGGGAAACAACCCAGACCGCCAGCUAAGGUCCCAAAGUCAUGGUUAAGUGGGAAACGAUGUGGGAAGGCCCAGACAGCCAGGAUGUUGGCUUAGAAGCAGCCAUCAUUUAAAGAAAGCGUAAUAGCUCACUGGUCGAGUCGGCCUGCGCGGAAGAUGUAACGGGGCUAAACCAUGCACCGAAGCUGCGGCAGCGACACUGUGUGUUGUUGGGUAGGGGAGCGUUCUGUGUAGCCUGUGAAGGUGUGCUGUGAGGCAUGCUGGAGGUAUCAGAAGUGCGAAUGCUGACAUAAGUAACGAUAAAGCGGGUGAAAAGCCCGCUCGCCGGAAGACCAAGGGUUCCUGUCCAACGUUAAUCGGGGCAGGGUGAGUCGACCCCUAAGGCGAGGCCGAAAGGCGUAGUCGAUGGGAAACAGGUUAAUAUUCCUGUACUUGGUGUUACUGCGAAGGGGGGACGGAGAAGGCUAUGUUGGCCGGGCGACGGUUGUCCCGGUUUAAGCGUGUAGGCUGGUUUUCCAGGCAAAUCCGGAAAAUCAAGGCUGAGGCGUGAUGACGAGGCACUACGGUGCUGAAGCAACAAAUGCCCUGCUUCCAGGAAAAGCCUCUAAGCAUCAGGUAACAUCAAAUCGUACCCCAAACCGACACAGGUGGUCAGGUAGAGAAUACCAAGGCGCUUGAGAGAACUCGGGUGAAGGAACUAGGCAAAAUGGUGCCGUAACUUCGGGAGAAGGCACGCUGAUAUGUAGGUGAAGUCCCUCGCGGAUGGAGCUGAAAUCAGUCGAAGAUACCAGCUGGCUGCAACUGUUUAUUAAAAACACAGCACUGUGCAAACACGAAAGUGGACGUAUACGGUGUGACGCCUGCCCGGUGCCGGAAGGUUAAUUGAUGGGGUCAGCGCAAGCGAAGCUCUUGAUCGAAGCCCCGGUAAACGGCGGCCGUAACUAUAACGGUCCUAAGGUAGCGAAAUUCCUUGUCGGGUAAGUUCCGACCUGCACGAAUGGCGUAAUGAUGGCCAGGCUGUCUCCACCCGAGACUCAGUGAAAUUGAACUCGCUGUGAAGAUGCAGUGUACCCGCGGCAAGACGGAAAGACCCCGUGAACCUUUACUAUAGCUUGACACUGAACAUUGAGCCUUGAUGUGUAGGAUAGGUGGGGGAGGCUUUGAAGUGUGGACGCCAGUCUGCAUGGAGCCGACCUUGAAAUACCACCCUUUAAUGUUUGAUGUUCUAACGUGGACCCGUGAUCCGGGUUGCGGACAGUGUCUGGUGGGUAGUUUGACUGGGGCGGUCUCCUCCUAAAGAGUAACGGAGGAGCACGAAGGUUGGCUAAUCCUGGUCGGACAUCAGGAGGUUAGUGCAAUGGCAUAAGCCAGCUUGACUGCGAGCGUGACGGCGCGAGCAGGUGCGAAAGCAGGUCAUAGUGAUCCGGUGGUUCUGAAUGGAAGGGCCAUCGCUCAACGGAUAAAAGGUACUCCGGGGAUAACAGGCUGAUACCGCCCAAGAGUUCAUAUCGACGGCGGUGUUUGGCACCUCGAUGUCGGCUCAUCACAUCCUGGGGCUGAAGUAGGUCCCAAGGGUAUGGCUGUUCGCCAUUUAAAGUGGUACGCGAGCUGGGUUUAGAACGUCGUGAGACAGUUCGGUCCCUAUCUGCCGUGGGCGCUGGAGAACUGAGGGGGGCUGCUCCUAGUACGAGAGGACCGGAGUGGACGCAUCACUGGUGUUCGGGUUGUCAUGCCAAUGGCACUGCCCGGUAGCUAAAUGCGGAAGAGAUAAGUGCUGAAAGCAUCUAAGCACGAAACUUGCCCCGAGAUGAGUUCUCCCUGACCCUUUAAGGGUCCUGAAGGAACGUUGAAGACGACGACGUUGAUAGGCCGGGUGUGUAAGCGCAGCGAUGCGUUGAGCUAACCGGUACUAAUGAACCGUGAGGCUUAACCUU